Dromaius novaehollandiae (emu) is the source of this 6724-nucleotide long non-coding RNA. RefSeq lists it as uncharacterized. NCBI's taxonomy places the organism in Eukaryota, Metazoa, Chordata, Aves, Casuariiformes, Dromaiidae. The transcript is spliced from 6 exons. The record is from RefSeq and is a predicted model, not a curated record.
UGCAGAGUCCUUCCUCCUGCCUUGCACUGGAAGUGUCCUCUAGCAGAGUGAAUGGGGGGAUGAACCUGUCCAAUCUCUUCGAUCAGCUGCUCAGCAUUAGCAGGGACCGGGUGAAGAUGUCUUGUCAGUGAGCUGUACCACAUGGAGCUCCUGGCCCUGCUUUCUACUUUCCAAGACCCCGAGCUUCAGCCCUGUCAGGUCUGUAACAUCAGCAGGCUGUCUCUUCUCCACAGCUUCUCUCUUGCAGAGCCAGUACUCUUCCCAGAGCCUGCAAAACUCUUCUUUAUUGUCUUAGCCCAAUUUCCUUUGAAACUGCCAUAUGCUGUGAGUUUUAGGAGGGAUUAAAAGCAUGAGAAGUCUACACUUAAAUCCCAUGCAAAGGCAGGGACACGGCAGUUUGAGUGCCUACAGACAAAGAAUAGAGAAAUCUUUUCCCUACCUUUCUUCUGGGGCAGAGAGAAAGACUAAUGCUCUGGCUAAGACUAUGAGUGCCUCCUUCAGCAAGAAUUUCUCCUAGUCAGAGGAAAAACGAGGGAAAUUUCACUUGCUGCUUUGUCACCAUAUUGGGUGAUGCCCUGAGAUGCUUCCAACACUUAGUAAGAAAUAAAUGAGGCCGCAUGGAAGAUGGUGGACUGCAAGGAAGGACCCAAUGCUGCAGAGAUGGAGUUGAGCCUCCUGCUGAGUAAACAAUUCUUUCUGCACCAGCACUGGGGCUGUCCUGGCCAUCAGGGAGAUCUUUGCAGGACAGCCAGACAGACAGGUGCUGUCUUCUGAAUCAGUGUUGUGGCAGGUGAUGGGUUGGGUUUGGGAAUUAAACUGCUGAUGGCUUUUCAAAUUGGGAAAGACAGAUUUCAGAUGCCCCUGGGGAGUAGGACACACAGUGGACUUGGCCUAUUCAUAGUUUUUAGAGUAAUGCUGAAAUCCAUAAUGUUUCAUGGCACCCUUUUCUGGAUGGCUCAGUGCUAAUGUGUGCUGGUCCUCAGUCCAGAUCAGUGAUGCUCUGUCUGGCACCAGGAGGUAUGUCCUGGGUGGAUCAGGAUGGGGAGCAAUGCCCUCGGGUCAGAAUGCCUCCAUCUGGGUGAGAAAUAAGAGUCUAUCUUUAACACCUAUAUUUCAGCUUCAUUGCAAGAAGUGUCUCUACCAGGAUGUGGGUAUUUCUUACAUAUGCAAAGAGGCUCUGCGCACAAUGCAUAUGCAGAUCAAAAUGGGAAGUAUUUUCACCUGGAACACCUGAUCUUUGAUCCUGUAACUUUUACAGCCCUGUGCAGGGGCAGUUGCAUCCCAGCAUUGGGCUUAUGUGUGAGGUAGGCCCUUUCUUCUUCUUUGAAGGGCCACUGUGAGUUUAUCCUGCAUUUAGAGAGUGCCUGACAUCCUUUGUUGUCCUUCAACCACAGCUUACAAAGUGCAUUGAUGGAGAUGGUUCUGAGAAGCAGGAUCCAGAGGUCAAUUAGUGAAUGAGCAGGGAUAAGAAAAUGGAGGUUGAAAAAGAGUCAAAGAUAUUUACAGCCUGCGUGGCCUUCCCUCUCCUUGUGCUUUAUUUUUAAUGGCUUGCUGCUCUUUGUUUAAUGAAUAUGUUGCUGAGUUAUUGGAAGCACAAACUGCAUCCAAAAGCAGGACACUUGGGGUUUAUUAUAUUCAUAUAACUCAAAACCAGCCAAAUUGAUUUUUUUUUUUUUUUUUUUUUUUUUUUUUUUUUUUUUUUUUAAAAUCUUCUCCACCUCAUCUUUAAAUCUUGCUGUGGGUUAGUGGUAGUGACAGGUGUGAGACUGACAGCAUUGGAGAUGGAGAAACUGUGUUUAGGUAAUGACCCAGCUGCGAGCAGUGAGAACACACCUCUCCUCCCUGCCCCAUGCUUGCUUUGCCUCUAACGGCCUCCUCUUGUGGCAGAUCUGAUCCUUGGCUGCCUGCUUGAGAUUCUUGUCUUUGCUGCUGCUGCUUUUUGGCUGCUGUAAUGCCUUUGGGAAACCGAAUGUCUCUUUUCCAUCCAGUUACCAGCACAGCAUCAUGCCAGUAUGAUCAUCUGCUCUCAUGUGACCUGAAAGAGGAGGCUGGCAGGCAGGUAGCCUUGGGUGUCUCAGCACAGAGUGCAAACUUGCAGCUCUGCAAAGUUUGGUUGGAACUGGAGCUCCCAGGGUGACUUUGUCUCCCCUCACUGUGGGAGAUGAGUAGUCCUGCAUUCAUGCCAAGCCACUUCACUUUCAUCCUGCACAAUCAGGUUUCCUGUUGGUCACCUGCGAGGGCAAAGGAAGAGCCCUUGGAGGGUCCUUUGGCUUCUGGGUUUUUGUCUGGUGGAAGACUGGCUGUAGGAGGCAUACUCUGGUGUUUUUUCUGGCAUGAAAGGCUUUGGAGCACCUGGCUGGUGUCUUGCUCCUGUCCGUGGGUUUUUGGGGAGGGAUUGACAGGCAGUGUUUUGCCCUCCUGUGCAGAGUGGGAUUCCUUGGCUGCCUAUGAUCUGCUGGGUGUUUUCACGUAGUAAGUGUUCUUGCUAUUGCAGAAGAUGGAACGUUGGUGCAGUCCUUGGUAUCCCCAUCAUCUUCCUGAAGCACAGCAACGUGUAAGGUUUGGUGUAGUGCUUUUGUUUUGGUUUUGUUUUUGUUUUUGUUUUUUGAUCUUGUUAUGAAUUCUUAUGUUUGGGGGAAUUUUGGGUGUCCGCUGCAGGAAGAAGCACGCAAAACAGUUCUGAGUUGUCUUGUUACCUAAGCAUCUCUGGGAGAGUUGCCACUGAUUGUCAGGCUUGGUUGGGGUAAUCUUUUCUGUGAAAUGGCAGAGGGAUAUAUUUGGCUUCUUUUGCCCUCUUUAGGGCAGUCUACAUAGUCCUGUAGUCAGUUUGCCCUCUCUUGAGGGUAUUCACUAUGUGCUAGCACAGAGGUGGACAUGGUAGCAAAGUGUGGGGCUGUUCUUGGAGCCACACUAGCUGCCUGACCCUGGGAAUUCGUCUUGCAGCUACCCCACCUGUCUGGGAGUGUAAUGCUAGUGGUCUUCAAAGACUGCUUUGUCCUCACAGGGUGAAAAUGGGGUAGAGGAGAAAACCAGGGGGUAGGGAGAUAAUAACACAGAGAAAGAAAGGACCCCACCCUUAGCAUGAAACAGCAGAGGUUUUCGUCUGGGUCCUGGUUAAUGAGGGCAUUUUGAUCUACAAUUGUUGACUGCAGAAAGAGCCUGCCUGAUAAAGGGGGAAGGGACGUCCUGGGGGAGAGGGUCGCUGAAUAUGCAUGGCCCCGGGUCUCUUUGUUUAGCUGAUAUCUGACUAUAUUUAUUCUUCUAGAUUACACAUUCUGACUGCGGAACAAAGGGCUGGCAGGAGCUGCUCUCUUGUGCUUAAUAAUUUGAGUGAAUUUACAUUUCAAUGCAGCCCUGCGCCACUUCCCACCCCCCAUGGAAAGAGCAGAAUUUCCCUGUUGUGGGGAGGGGGGGAGCAAAACUCCCACCCCAAUGGCCAGGCUGGGAGAUUUAUUGAUAUUCCUCUCUGAAUUCAUUCCUAGAGAAUCCAGUAUGUGUGUGCGCAAGUGUGUGCCCACCCGCCAGAUACAGAGAUGUUUUUUUCCCUGCCACCCUACUCCAUGACUUGUUCAGAUAACGCUGUUUGCCCCACCUCCCUGCUGAGCAGUGUGAUUCAUCAUCAAGUAAUUAACCAUCAGCAGUACAGAAAGUACCUGGCCUGGCAGAAGUGUGAAAACGUAUCUGCACCUAACGGGGACUGGACGGAAGAUUUCCACUUUGAGUGACACACAGGGAACUGCAAAGUGACAAAGACAGAGUUAGCCAUUGCUAAAACUCCCAAACAUACUCUGCUUUUUGUGUAAUGUCCUUUGUACUCUACUAUGGGCCUGAGGAUGCAAAAAAUCAUUCUCUGAGUCAGAGUGGGGUCCCAGGGGAUCCAGAGGUGGCAGUUUCUCACUGGCCUGUUUGACCUGGGUUUGGAUCCUUUCCUGUAGCAGUUUCACAGUGAGGCUCAUCUCUUGGCUCUGAGAAGUGAAUGAAAUGAAUUUUCCUCUUGCGCUUUUCCUAGCUUAUCUACAAGUGUGGUUUCAUGUCCCUGAAUAGGAUCCUGGACCACAUUUGCAUGAAUGUUGUGUUAGCUGCAAUGCCACUCUUCCCGAGUCAUAGUCCUGGAUUUUAAUAUUAGGACAGUUGCAGUGCCUUUAUCCCACACCUUGUCCAACUGAUGAUGACCUUGCUGGCACACAGACUUUAUGCACAGACAGUCCCAGCACUCUAGGCGGGGUUCCAGCCUCCAGUCACUAGUGCUCUGCAUCGGCUAAUAACAAGAAAAGUUCAAUUAAAGCAACAGAUCUUGCUUUGCUCUGUGUGCACACAAGUGUGUACCACCUGCUACAGAGGACAUCUCUGCUUGUCUUAGGCCCCUUAAAAGAUGGUUUGUGAGUUGGGAAGGGACAUAACCCAUGAGCAUAGGACCCUGCUGGGCGGUGUCUGUGUGUCCAGGAGCGGAUCGGGUCACACUGUUCACCCAUUUACUCCUCUCCUCUCUCAUCCCAUACGGUCUCACAUAGUGCAACAUGAGAUGGACCCUUUGCUGCCCUCAAGACUGAGGAAGCACCACAUGUGAAAGGAUCAGCCUCAAGCAUGGCCAAGUCAAGCACCUACUGGCUCAGCAGGGACCAGCCUCAUCCACUACAGGACAGUGCUUAGAGAAACACUAAUUCUGUGACUCUGCUGGAGACCUGGGUGUUUGGUCUGCAGACAGCUUGAUCAACAACGGACACUUGCAAACCUCAGAGGCUAUCAAACCACCAUCACAACCUGUGGCUCCAGCUUGCUCCCUCCUUCAGCCAAGGAAUUGCUCUAUUGCUCAGAGCGAUUGCAGUGUGGCAUCACUGCUCGCCCUUAGCCUGUGCCACUUGUUAAAGACUGAGAACAUGGGAAUAUGGGUUGUUUUCUGCCAACAGAGGUAAGUGGAUGAUGAAGCACUUGUAGCUAGCAAAGCAUAGGCACUUCUGCUGGCUCCAGCCUCCAAGGGUUGCUUUCACUGAUCAAAAUGAGCAAAAAAAGAAAGAAAAAAAAAAACCUCAAGGAUGUAAAAGCUAUCAGAGUUAGUGGGAAACAAUUAACUAAAGGAAGAACUAGUGAAUAUUCCCUUUGUGCUUUUUCCUCAUGAUUCUUGCUGGUGUCUGGGAUCAAGGACUUGGUGAGAAUGCAGCUUCAUCAUCCUUUGGACUCUUCAUGCCUUCUUAGGUUUUGAAUCUGGCCAUCAGGAAGGAUAAAGGAUAACAACAGGUCUCUAUGUAACUAAUGAAUCGGGAAGAAAUCACAAAAGAAUUACAGCACUCCAUGCUUUUGGGAGAGGCACCCAAAGCCACCUACCUCUUGGUUGCAGCUUUCACUCUAGCCCUCAGAAGAACUGAACAGUGAUACUGUGAAAUAAUGCUGUAUUUCCUUGUCUCCUGACCAUUUUUUCUUGCAGAAACACCCCCUCCAGUUUUCUAGAAUGUCCUUGGAGCCUGCCUCCAUGCCCAGAAAAAUCUUUGCAUCAUCUACUGGCUUUUUAACCUUAUGAAACCUGUCCCCAUGUGUUAUUUUUCUGCUGGGAGACUUGUGGAUGUGAUGUACUGCAGAGGUUGGCCUGACUCCUUUUGUACAGGCAAAACAGCUGUAUGGGCUCUGUGGAAACCUUCAGGAGACUGCAGCGUUUCACUUCAAAACCUGUCCUAAGCUGGGGUGUUCUCUGCCUGGAGAUGAACCAGGCCUAUCUGCCUUACCCCACUUGCCCUGUGCUUCUACAGAAGACUAGCUGCUGGAGCUGUCAGUUCCCAACUAUCCCCUUUGCAUCCACAGGGUGGAAAGGAAAGAUGAGCCACUUCAAGCAAAGGUCCUGCUGAGACUGUGCAAAGAGUCAGGUUGUUUUGGAGGCAGGAGAAAAACAACUGCUCCUUCCUUCCUCUUGGAAAUGAUUUUGCCUUGGCCCAGCCUUUACAAAAUGGAAUUAGAAAGCCCUGCUGAGCAUUGGGAGCUGGCGGGAGUCAUCAUCCAGCCAAUUCAUCAUAACAGGAGCUCAGUAUCUAAUAAGCAGCACUUCUUUCUGUGUACCCCACGUGGGAAAACUGCUGAGGAAACCUUACAGUGGCAAAUUUGCUUUACUUAACGCUAAGUGGGGAUCAUUUCUUGUGAUUACUGAAAAAUGCAUCAUAACUUUUGAUUACGCUGCUAUUAAGGAUGCAGAAUGGCAAUUGCUGCUGCUCACAGAGAGGGAGAGAGAGGAAAUGCUGCUGGAAGAGCUGGUGUAACCCUUUGCUAUGCCGAAUGCUGCAGCAAAGGUGUCGCUGCUGGAUUUCCUGUGUGUACGGACUCCACUGCCUGCUCUGCCAGGGGGAUCAUUUGACCUCCCGUGUCCCUGAAGAUUCAGAGGCUGAGUAAUUGGAGCAGAGGGAGAUGAGAAAUACCUCAUGCAUGCAGCUGAUCUGCUGUGUGCUACUAGGUAUGGGACAGCUGGCUGCUCUGUAAGUUCAUCCAUACACCCUAUUGAGAGACGCUUCUGCCUUCUCUGAGAGAAGAUUUCAUCCAAAGAUCAUCAGCAGCAGCCACCAUCAGAGACAGCAGAAGGAAGCUGAGUAGGUCCCAGUUGCCUUUGUGUUGACAGCACGGUCUGCUCUAUUGCCCUUGAUCUCUACUGUGUGGCAUUGAUGUGGAGUCUUCUCAGAGUGUGAGUAAACUCUGCUUCUUUUAAAGAUGAUGAUGGAACUCUUGUUGGCUGAGUUGGAUGCAGAGU